GAUGAAGAACGCAGCGAAAUGCGAUAAGUAGUGUGAAUUGCAGAAUUCAGUGAAUCAUCGAAUCUUUGAACGCACAUUGCGCCCUUCGGUAUUCCGUUGGGCAUGCCUGUUCGAGCGUCAUUUAAACCUUCAAGCUAUGCUUGGUGUUGGGUGUUUGUUCCGCCUCUGCGCGUGGACUCGCCUCAAAUUCAUUGGCAGCCGGUAUGUUGGCUUCGUGCGCAGCACAUUGCAAGCGAUUUCAACAGGCCUCCUUCCAUAAGCCCUUUUUUUACUUUGGCCUCGGAUCAGGUAGGGAUACCCGCUGAACUUAAGCAUAUCAAUAAGCGGAGGA
Molecule: unclassified non-coding RNA, 331 nt
Filed under: soil metagenome
Description: partial contains 5.8S ribosomal RNA, internal transcribed spacer 2, and large subunit ribosomal RNA
Rfam family: 5.8S ribosomal RNA (bases 1-120)
Source: RNAcentral